Molecule: ribosomal RNA, 253 nt
Filed under: uncultured bacterium
Lineage: Bacteria
Description: partial 16S ribosomal RNA
Rfam family: Bacterial small subunit ribosomal RNA
Source: RNAcentral
UACGUAGGUGACCAGCGUUGUCCGGAUUUACUGGGCGUAAAGAGCGCGCAGGCGGUCGUUCAAGUCGAGUGUGAAAGCCCCCGGCUCAACUGGGGAGGGUCACUUGAUACUGAUCGACUCGAAGGCAGGAGAGGGAAGCGGAAUUCCCGGUGUAGUGGUGAAAUGCGUAGAUAUCGGGAGGAACACCAGUGGUGAAGGCGGCUUCCUGGCCUGUUCUUGACGCUGAGGCGCGAAAGCUAGGGGAGCAAACGGG